This 595-nucleotide ribosomal RNA is filed under the name uncultured marine eukaryote. Its description in RNAcentral is "bacterial SSU rRNA". It matches the Rfam family "Eukaryotic small subunit ribosomal RNA", at positions 1 to 598 of the family's 1831-position model. The record is from RNAcentral.
AACCUGGUUGAUCCUGCCAGUAGUCAUACACUUGUCUUAAAGAUUAAGCCAUGCAUGUCUAAGUGCUUUGAUGAUUUCACAUUAGACUGCAGACGGCUCAUUACAACAGUUAUUGUAUUAUUGAUAUUAUCUUAUAGGUGGAUACCUGUGGAAAUUCUAGAGCUAAUACAUGACAAAAAAAUAUAUAUAAAUUUAAUUUAUUAUGUUAGGCUUUUAAUUUUUUCAAAUCAAAGUGUUUCUUCACUAUGGAUGAUUCAUAUUAUUGCUUAAAAUCGCAAUAUUUAUACGUGAUAAAUCAGUCAAGUUUCUGACCUAUCAGUUAGUGUGUAGUGUAUUGGACUAUUGAGGCAUUAACGGGUAACAGAGAAUUAGGGUUCUGUUCCGGAGAGGGAGCCUGAGAUACAGCUACUACAUCUAAGGAAGGCAGCAGGCGCGUAAAUUACCCAAUUCUGAUAACGAGAGGUAGUGACAAGAAAUCGCAAUAUUUUGCCUUAGGGUUAAAUAAUUGUAUUGAGAACAAAGUAGAUAGUUUAUCAAUAAACAAUUGGAGGGCAAGUCUGGUGCCAGCAGCCGCGGUAAUUCCAGCUCCAAUAGU